CUACGGGCUGCAGCAGGCGCGAAACCUUUACAAUGUACGUAAGUGCGAUAAGGGAACUCCCAGUGCUCAUGUAAUGCAUGGGCUUUUGUUAAGUGUAAAUAGCUUGGCGAAUAAGUGGUGGGUAAGACGGGUGCCAGCCGCCGCGGUAACACCUGCGCCACGAGUGGCAUUCACGUUUACUGGGCCUAAAGCGUUCGUAGCCGGAUAGAUAAGUCUUAAGUGAAAUCGUUGCGCUUAACAAAACGACGUGCUUAAGAUACUGUUUAUCUAGGGACCGGGAGGAGUUAGGGGUAUUCCAGAGGGAGCGGUAAAAUGCUGUAAUCUCUGGAGGACCACCUGUGGCGAAGGCGCCUAACUAGAACGGGUCCGACGGUGAGGAACGAAAGCCAGGGGAGCAAAACGGAUUAGAUACCCUCGUAGUC
Molecule: ribosomal RNA, 422 nt
Filed under: uncultured archaeon
Lineage: Archaea
Description: partial 16S ribosomal RNA
Rfam family: Archaeal small subunit ribosomal RNA
Source: RNAcentral